RNAcentral lists this RNase MRP RNA (255 nucleotides) under Ipomoea nil (Japanese morning glory). RNAcentral's name for it is "RNase MRP". It matches the Rfam family "RNase MRP". Rfam says of the family: RNase MRP is an enzymatically active ribonucleoprotein with two distinct roles in eukaryotes. In mitochondria it plays a direct role in the initiation of mitochondrial DNA replication. Lineage: Eukaryota; Viridiplantae; Streptophyta; Magnoliopsida; Solanales; Convolvulaceae. The record is from Rfam by way of RNAcentral.
UGACCGUGGGGCGACGUGAGUGGGUUGGGCCUUUCCGUUAUGGAUUGACCAGGCCCAGGAAAGUCCCCGGGCUGUUUCUGCAGAGAUGCAGGCCCGGAAACGGGUACACUUCACUGUCUGGUGCCCUAUCUCGUUGCGAGAUGGGCUGAGACGAGUGUCGAGCCCAUGGGCCCUAGCUGGAAGUGCGUUGGCUGAUUAACAGUUAUUCACGUGGUCCGUCUGGACUAACUGAACGGGGCUUACGAUCUUACGGUC